UGAGCUCUAUACUUAUAACGAGUGUAGAGGAAAGAUGCAAUUGUAUCGUCUGGAGAUGAGCCUGCGGUCCAUUAGCUUGUUGGCAGGGUAAUGGCCUACCAAGGCGACGAUGGAUAGCCGGCCUGAGAGGGUGAACGGCCACACUGGGACUGAGACACGGCCCAGACUCCUACGGGAGGCAGCAGCUAAGAAUCUUCCGCAAUGGGCGAAAGCCUGACGGAGCGACGCCGCGUGGACGAUGAAGGCCGAAAGGUUGUAAAGUCCUUUUCUUAGGGAAGAAUAAGGCGAAGAAUGGAAUGCUUCGCUGAUGACAUUAACUGAGGAAUAAGCCCCGGCCAAUUACGUGCCAGCAGCCGCGGUAAUACGUAUGGGGCGAGCGUUGUUCGGAAUUAUUGGGCGUAAAGGGCGUGUAGGCGGUUUUAUAAGCCUGGUGUGAAAUCCCACAGCUCAACUGUGGAUCCGCGCUGGGAACUGUAAGACUAGAGUUUAGGAGGGGAAGCUGGAAUUCCUGGUGUAGGGGUGAAAUCUGUAGAUAUCAGGAAGAACACCGAUGGCGAAGGCAAGCUUCUAGCCAUAGACUGACGCUGAGGCGCGAAAGCGUGGGGAGCGAACAGGAUUAGAUACCCUGGUAGUCCACGCUGUAAACGAUGUGCACUGGGUGUAGGAGACGUUGAGUUUUCUGUGCCGUAGCUAACGCGAUAAGUGCACCGCCUGGGGAGUAUGCUCGCAAGGGUGAAACUCAAAGGAAUUGACGGGGGCCCGCACAAGCGGUGGAGCAUGUGGUUUAAUUCGAUACGCGAGGAACCUUACCAGGGCUUGACAUGUACUUGAAGGCUUAAGAGAUUAAGUCGACCUUUAGGGGACAGGUACACAGGUGCUGCAUGGCUGUCGUCAGCUCGUGUCGUUAGAUGUUGGGUUAAGUCCCGCAACGAGCGCAACCCUUACUGUCUGUUACCAGCAGGUCUUCGGACGCUGGGGACUCAGGCAGAACUGCCGGUGACAAACCGGAGGAAGGUGGGGAAGACGUCAAGUCAUCAUGGCCCUUAUGUCCUGGGCUACACACGUGCUACAAUGGUCGGUACAAAGCGUUGCGAGACGGUGACGUCCUUAGCAAAUCGCAAAAAGCCGAUCUCAGUUCGGAUUGGAGUCUGAAACCCGACUCCAUGAAGUUGGAAUCGCUAGUAAUCGCGCAUCAGAAUGGCGCGGUGAAUAUGUUCCCGGGCCUUGUACACACCGCCCGUCACACCACCCGAGUUGGGGGUACCCGAAGUCGCUAGUCUAACUUUUCGGAGAGGACGGCGCCGAAGGUAUGUCCGGUAAGGGGGGUGAAGUCGUAACAAGGUA
This 1344-nucleotide ribosomal RNA is filed under the name metagenome. RNAcentral describes it as "bacterial SSU rRNA". It matches the Rfam family "Bacterial small subunit ribosomal RNA", at positions 173 to 1498 of the family's 1533-position model. The record is from RNAcentral.